CCUACGGGUGGCAGCAGUGGGGAAUAUUGCGCAAUGGGCGAAAGCCUGACGCAGCGACGCCGCGUGAGGGAUGAAGGUCUUCGGAUCGUAAACCUCUGUCAGCAGGGAAGAACGGUCACUGUGCUAAUCAGCAGUGAAUUGACGGUACCUGCAAAGGAAGCACCGGCUAACUCCGUGCCAGCAGCCGCGGUAAUACGGAGGGUGCGAGCGUUAAUCGGAAUUACUGGGCGUAAAGCGCUCGUAGGCGGUAUGUCAAGUCAAGGGUGAAAUCCCCGCGCUCAACGUGGGAACUGCCUUUGAAACUGGCAAGCUGGAGUGGUGGAGAGGGAAGUGGAAGUCCUAGUGGAGGGGUGAAAUGCGUAGAGAUUAGGAGGAACAUCAGUGGCGAAGGCGGCUGACUGGAACAUAACUGACGCUGAGGAGCGAAAGCGUGGGGAGCAAACAGGAUUAGAUACCCGAGUAGUC
RNAcentral lists this ribosomal RNA (465 nucleotides) under uncultured bacterium. RNAcentral describes it as "partial 16S ribosomal RNA". It matches the Rfam family "Bacterial small subunit ribosomal RNA", at positions 338 to 795 of the family's 1533-position model. The record is from RNAcentral.